RNAcentral lists this ribosomal RNA (210 nucleotides) under uncultured bacterium. Its description in RNAcentral is "partial 16S ribosomal RNA". It matches the Rfam family "Bacterial small subunit ribosomal RNA", at positions 568 to 775 of the family's 1533-position model. The record is from RNAcentral.
CUCGUAGACGGUUCAGUAAGUCGGGUGUGAAAACUUUGGGCUUAACCCAAAGCGUGCAUCCGAUACUGCUGUGACUUGAGUACGGUAGGGGAGCGGGGAAUUCCUAGUGUAGCGGUGAAAUGCGCAGAUAUUAGGAGGAACACCGGUGGCGAAGGCGCCGCUCUGGGCCGAAACUGACGCUGAGGAGCGAAAGCAUGGGUAAGCAAACAG